Alosa alosa (allis shad) is the source of this 1974-nucleotide RNA transcript. It is a transcript of the gene named RNA binding motif protein X-linked, with no coding region annotated. The transcript has 10 exons. NCBI's taxonomy places the organism in Eukaryota, Metazoa, Chordata, Actinopteri, Clupeiformes, Clupeidae. The record is from RefSeq and is a predicted model, not a curated record.
UUCACACGUGAUCGAUAUAAUCCAUUGAAUACGGUUGCGUAUUUGUCUUGAGGUCUUGUCCUGUUGAAUGCGUGUCUGAGAUUAAACGCACAAUAUGGCGGAGGCAGACCGACCAGGGAAACUCUUUAUUGGUGGGCUAAAUACUGAGACCACCGAGAAGGCUCUUGAACAGUACUUCAGCAAAUAUGGCAGGAUAAUGGAAGUUCUCUUAAUGAAAGAUCGUGAAACAAACAAGUCCAGAGGUUUUGCAUUUGUGACUUACGAAAAUCCAGGAGAUGCCAAGGAUGCUGCCCGGGAAAUGAAUGGAAAGACCCUGGAUGGUAAGUCCAUCAAAGUAGAACAAGCAACAAAGCCACAGUUUGAAUCUGCUGGACGCCGUGGUCCACCAUCUUUGCAUCCACGAAGCCGUGGUCUACCAAGAGGCCCUCGCGGUUCUAGAGGAGCACCAAGCGGAAUGAGGGGUCCACCCAGCAGAGAACCCUUUUUCAAAGGUGCGUCAUCCAGAGGCCCACCUCCGUUGAAAAGAGGACCUCCAAUGCGCAGUGAAGGGCCACCACCUAAGAGACAGGCCCCGUCUGGACCCAUCGGCAGGCCUCCCAUGUCCCGUGACAGAGACCCUUAUGGACCACCUCCACCCCGUCGGGAUUCUAUGAUGUCACGGCGGGACGACUACCCCUCGCCACGGGAUGACCAUUAUUCUUCAAAAGACAGUUACUCCAGUCGGGACUACAUGAGCUCAAGGGACAGCAGAGACUAUGCUCCCCCUCCCCGUGACUAUGCUCCACCACCUCGUGAUUAUCGCGACUAUCCCCAUUCCAGCUCCAGAGAUGAAUAUGGGUCCAUGUCUAGAGGCUACAGCGAUCGUGAUGGUUAUGGCGGCGGACGAGAGCCCAGGAGUUAUGUUGAUCGACCAAGUACAGGUUCCUACAGAGACCCCUAUGAUGGUUACGUGUUUAAGGAUCCUCCACCAAAAAGUCAAAACUUUGAUGGCUUGCAACGACUUACCCAAAGACAACAGCCAAAAUGCAAGAACCUUUCCGCACCACAGAUAAAGUCUCAACGGGAUGGUAAGCAAAGCAAACCUUCUUGUUUCUCGUUAAUGGAAUUAGCUGAGGAAAGUAAACAUGAGGUACAACCCAAAGGUUGGUAUGAGUGGCGUCAAUUGUUACCCCCUUUUGCUCUGCAGGGGCAGUCUGGCGUGCCUUCCAUUCUCCAUUCUGAAAUUAUACUGUUAAGAGAUCAACCUCAGGAAAUUGAUAGUUUCAGCAAAAACUCCUUCCUUGCAACAAGUUGACUCACUAAGGAGAACUGGAAUUCUUCUGGCUCUGCGCGAUCCGUUCAGUAAAUGUUCCCCACGCAUUUGCACUGCCGCUUGAGAAUGUAAGAAAAGUCAUGGAUCCCUAAUCUGUUGUAGCAUAAGAACAUUUUCAGAAAUUUUGAAAAGGUACAUUUUGAAGAUCUGGCCCACAUUUUGAAUGGACCUAUUGCAUAAUAGUACUCAAAUACUCAGUAAUGCCCAUAUCCCAAAGGAUCUAAUCAUUUGACACGAUAAGACUACAUUUAUUCCAACCAGCCCACAGCAAGCAUGCCCUGACACUUGGAAGUUCUGUGGAAAGAAGCCACCAACCAGGAAAACGGGGAAAAAUAACGGAGCCAAGUUCAAACAAAUUCUACCUUCAUUUCUUGGGCUACAUAUUGAUGAAUGUAUGUAUGGACAUUGAUUGUUAUGUAAAUCUCUUGCAGGAUGACUGAGCAAUGAUUUCUGAAUCAUUGGCUCAUCUCAGUGUCCUGUUGGUAAAUGUUUGUUGCUCAGGAGAUCUUGAUGCACAGGAGAUGUUCACAGAUCCCAGGGCCGGGCUUGGAAGAGUAGUAUGCGUUUUUUUGCCUUGGGUGUUGCAGUGUGGCAAGGAUGGCGAUCAUCUUCAUGGACACAUUGAUGUGUUCAUAUUAAAAUAAAGAUUUCAAAUCAACUAA